This 793-nucleotide ribosomal RNA is filed under the name uncultured Thermococcus sp. Its description in RNAcentral is "bacterial SSU rRNA". It matches the Rfam family "Archaeal small subunit ribosomal RNA", at positions 85 to 876 of the family's 1478-position model. Lineage: Archaea; Methanobacteriati; Methanobacteriota; Thermococci; Thermococcales; Thermococcaceae. The record is from RNAcentral.
ACGGCUCAGUAACACGUCGGUAACCUACCCUCGGGAGGGGGAUAACCCCGGGAAACUGGGGCUAAUUCCCCAUAGGCCUGAGGUACUGGAAGGUCCUCAGGCCGAAAGGGACCUAUGUCCGCCCGAGGAUGGGCCGGCGGCCGAUUAGGUAGUUGGUGGGGUAAUGGCCCACCAAGCCGAAGAUCGGUACGGGCUGUGAGAGCAGGAGCCCGGAGAUGGACACUGAGACACGGGUCCAGGCCCUACGGGGCGCAGCAGGCGCGAAACCUCCGCAAUGCGGGAAACCGCGACGGGGGGACCCCGAGUGCCGUGGCAACGCCACGGCUUUUCCGGAGUGUAAAAAGCUCCGGGAAUAAGGGCUGGGCAAGGCCGGUGGCAGCCGCCGCGGUAAUACCGGCGGCCCGAGUGGUGGCCGCUAUUAUUGGGCCUAAAGCGUCCGUAGCCGGGCCCGUAAGUCCCUGGCGAAAUCCCACGGCUCAACCGUGGGGCUUGCUGGGGAUACUGCGGGUCUUGGGACCGGGAGAGGCGGGGGGUACCCCUGGGGUAGGGGUGAAAUCCUAUAAUCCCAGGGGGACCGCCAGUGGCGAAGGCGCCCCGCUGGAACGGGUCCGACGGUGAGGGACGAAGGCCAGGGGAGCAAACCGGAUUAGAUACCCGGGUAGUCCUGGCUGUAAAGGAUGCGGGCUAGGUGUCGGGUGAGCCUCGAGCUCGCCCGGUGCCGUAGGGAAGCCGUUAAGCCCGCCGCCUGGGGAGUACGGCCGCAGGCUGAAACUUAAAGGAAUUGGCGGGGGAG